This 371-nucleotide ribosomal RNA is filed under the name uncultured organism. RNAcentral's name for it is "partial 16S ribosomal RNA". It matches the Rfam family "Bacterial small subunit ribosomal RNA", at positions 527 to 896 of the family's 1533-position model. The record is from RNAcentral.
GAAUGGUCCUAGCGUUGUUCGGAAUCACUGGGCUUAAAGAGCACGUAGGCGGGAUGGUAAGUGUCUUGUGAAAUCCCUCGGCUCAACCGAGGAACUGCUCGGCAUACUGCCUUCCUUGAGGCAGGUAGGGGUGCAUGGAACUCUUGGUGGAGCGGUGAAAUGCGUAGAUAUCAAGAGGAACGCCAGUGGAGAAGUCGGUGCACUGGGCCUGUCCUGACGCUGAGGUGCGAAAGCGUGGGGAGCGAAGAGGAUUAGAUACCCUCGUAGUCCACGCCCGUAAACGAUGUCUAUAGGUUGCGGAAGUUCUGACGCUCUCGCAGCCGAAGCGAAGGUAUUAAGUAGACCGCCUGGGGAGUACGGUCGCAAGGCUA